UGUUGUGAUGAUACCGUGACAAAUGGCAUUCCUCGAACGGAAAUACCAUGUCGAAUUUGUCAAUAAAAAGUUUCAGCCUUGUCUGACC
Molecule: small nucleolar RNA, 88 nt
Filed under: Acidomyces richmondensis BFW
Lineage: Eukaryota; Fungi; Ascomycota; Dothideomycetes; Mycosphaerellales; Teratosphaeriaceae
Description: A. fumigatus snoRNA Afu_455
Rfam family: A. fumigatus snoRNA Afu_455
Source: Rfam by way of RNAcentral